ACCCAGGGUGGUUGCUAAGGUGUUGCUAUGCGGUUGCUAAGGUAUCCAGGGUGGUUGCUAGGGUGUUGCUAUGCGGUUGCUAGGGUAUCCAGGAUGGUUGCUAGGGUGUUGCUAUGCCGUUGCUAAGGUAUCCAGGGUGGUUGCUAGGGUGUUGCUAUGCGGUUGCUAGGGUACCCAGGGUGGUUGCUAAGGUGUUGCUAUGCGGUUGCUAGGGUAACAGGGGUGGUUGCUAGGGUGUUGCUAUGCGGUUGCUAAGGUAACAGGGGUGGUUGCUAGGGUGUUGCUAUGCGGUUGCUAGGGUAACAGGGGUGGUUGCUAGGGUGUUGCUAUGCGGUUGCUAGGGUACUUGGGGUGGUUGCUAGGCCGGUUGCUAAGGUGCCCAGGG
Molecule: long non-coding RNA, 385 nt
Organism: Labeo rohita (rohu)
Lineage: Eukaryota; Metazoa; Chordata; Actinopteri; Cypriniformes; Cyprinidae
Exons: 3
Source: RefSeq, a predicted model, not a curated record